AUUGAACGCUGGCGGCAUGCUCUACACAUGCAAGUCGAACGGCAGCUCGGGCUUCGGCCUGGCGGCGCAAGGCGAACGGGUGAGUAAUGCCUCGGAACGCCCCCACUUGUGGGGGAUAGCCCGGCGACCGCCGGAUUCAUACUGCAUACGACCUGCGGGUGCACACGGGGGACCGCCAGCCCUCGCGCUCUCGGCGCGUCCGAUGUCGGCAUAGCCAGUUGGUGGGGUAAAGGCUUACCAAGGCGACGAUCCGUAGCCGGUCUGAGAGGACGACCAGCCACACUAGGACUGAGACACGGCCCAAGCGCCUACGGGAGGCAGCAGAGGGGAAUUUUGGACGAUGGCGGCAAACCUGAUGCAGCCAAGCCGCGUAGGGGGAAGAGGCCUUCGGGGUGUGAACCGGUUUUGUUCGGGAAGAAAUGCUCUGGGCUAAUACCCCGUGGGGAUGACGGUACCGGAAGAAUAAGCACCGGCUAACUACGUG
Molecule: ribosomal RNA, 484 nt
Filed under: uncultured bacterium
Lineage: Bacteria
Description: partial 16S ribosomal RNA
Rfam family: Bacterial small subunit ribosomal RNA
Source: RNAcentral